ACCAUCCUUUUCUACAAGUUGCGUUACUGCCCAAUGAAUGUCUAGUGAGGACAGUACUGGUAACACCUACACAACACACACACAGCUCUUAAAGCUUUGCUUUAACAUGGUGCAAUUUGUGGAACC
Molecule: small nuclear RNA, 126 nt
Organism: Phascolarctos cinereus (koala)
Lineage: Eukaryota; Metazoa; Chordata; Mammalia; Diprotodontia; Phascolarctidae
Source: Ensembl